Molecule: ribosomal RNA, 1244 nt
Filed under: 'Helianthus annuus' x-disease phytoplasma
Lineage: Bacteria; Bacillati; Mycoplasmatota; Mollicutes; Acholeplasmatales; Acholeplasmataceae
Description: bacterial SSU rRNA
Rfam family: Bacterial small subunit ribosomal RNA
Source: RNAcentral
GAAACAGUUGCUAAGACUGGAUAGGAAAAGUAAAGGCAUCUUUACUCCUUUAAAAGACCUUCUUUGAAGGUAUACUUAAGGAGGGGCUUGCGACACAUUAGUUAGUUGGCAGGGUAAAGGCCUACCAAGACUAUGAUGUGUAGCUGGACUGAGAGGUUGAACAGCCACAUUGGGACUGAGACACGGCCCAAACUCCUACGGGAGGCAGCAGUAGGGAAUUUUCGGCAAUGGAGGAAACUCUGACCGAGCAACGCCGCGUGAACGAUGAAGUACCUCGGUAUGUAAAGUUCUUUUAUUAAGGAAGAAAAAAGAGUGGAAAAACUCCCUUGACGGUACUUAAUGAAUAAGCCCCGGCUAAUUAUGUGCCAGCAGCCGCGGUAAUACAUAAAGGGCGAGCGUUAUCCGGAAUUAUUGGGCGUAAAGGGUGCGUAGGCGGUUUAAUAAGUUUAUAGUUUAAUUUCAGCGCUUAACGCUGUUGUGCUAUAGAAACUGUUUUACUAGAGUGAGUUAGAGGCAAGCGGAAUUCCAUGUGUAGCGGUAAAAUGCGUAAAUAUAUGGAGGAACACCAGAGGCGUAGGCGGCUUGCUGGGACUUUACUGACGCUGAGGCACGAAAGCGUGGGGAGCAAACAGGAUUAGAUACCCUGGUAGUCCACGCCGUAAACGAUGAGUACUAAGUGUCGGGUAAAACCGGUACUGAAGUUAACACAUUAAGUACUCCGCCUGAGUAGUACGUACGCAAGUAUGAAACUUAAAGGAAUUGACGGGACUCCGCACAAGCGGUGGAUCAUGUUGUUUAAUUCGAAGAUACACGAAAAACCUUACCAGGUCUUGACAUUUUCUUGCGAAGUUAUAGAAAUAUAAUGGAGGUUAUCAGGAAAACAGGUGGUGCAUGGUUGUCGUCAGCUCGUGUCGUGAGAUGUUAGGUUAAGUCCUAAAACGAGCGCAACCCUUGUCGUUAAUUGCCAGCAUAUAAUGAUGGGGACUUUAACGAGACUGCCAAUGAAAAAUUGGAGGAAGGUGGGGAUUACGUCAAAUCAUCAUGCCCCUUAUGAUCUGGGCUACAAACGUGAUACAAUGGUUGAUACAAAGAGUAGCUGAAACGCGAGUUCUUAGCCAAUCUCACAAAAUCAAUCUCAGUUCGGAUUGAAGUCUGCAACUCGACUUCAUGAAGUUGGAAUCGCUAGUAAUCGCGAAUCAGCAUGUCGCGGUGAAUACGUUCUCGGGGUUUGUACACACCGCCCG